UGCAUUGGGACUGGAAAAUAUCCAAACUAGUACAAACACAUCCACACGUCUGUUAGUAGCUCAGGAUCCAACAUGCUUUACACAGCGCAGAGCAAGGCAGCAUGGGAUCAACUGAACUUCAUUGAGAUAUCCCGAGGGUUUUAUUGCUCUACGCUUGUCCAAAGGGGACUUCCAGAGUUACUGGUGCCAACGCCACACAGGUGACCUACACGUAUAUGAGUAUGAAAAGGACCUGAGCCCUAGGACCAUGCCUCAGGACUACCUGGCUUGAUGACUCCUUGCUGUCCCCAGUUCACCUGGCCGUGCUGCUGCUCCAGUUCCAACUGUUCUGCCUGCAGCUAUGGAACCCUGACCUGUUCACCGGACGUGCUACCUGUCCCAGACCUGUUGUCCCAGACCUGCUGGAACCCUGACCUAUUCACCGGACGUCCUACCUGUCCCAGAGUUGCUGUCCCAGACCUGCUGGAACCCUGACCUGUUCACCGGACGUGCUACCUGUCCCAGACCUGCUGUUUUCAACUCUCUAGAGACAGCAGGAGUGGUAGAGAUACUCUCAAAGAUCGGCUAUGAAAAAGCCAACUGACACUUACUCUUGUGUUACUGACUUGUUGCACCCUCGACAACUACUAUGAUUAUUAUUAUUUGACAAUGCUGGUCAUUUAUGAACAUUUGAACAUCUAGGCCAUGUGCUGUUAUAAUCUCCACCCAGCACAGCCAGAAGAGGACUGGCCACCCCUCAUAGCCUGGUUCCUCUCUAGGUUUCUUCCUAGGUUCUGGCCUUUCUAGGGAGUUUUUCCUAGCCACCGUGCUUCUACACCUGCAUUGCUUGCUGUUUGGGGUUUUAGGCUGGGUUUCUGUACAGCACUUUGUGAUAUCAGCUGAUGUAAGAAGGGC
RNAcentral lists this long non-coding RNA (894 nucleotides) under Salmo salar (Atlantic salmon). Its description in RNAcentral is "lncRNA (ENSSSAG00000098309.1)". The record is from RNAcentral. Lineage: Eukaryota; Metazoa; Chordata; Actinopteri; Salmoniformes; Salmonidae.